CCUACGGGCGGCAGCAGUGAGGAAUAUUGGUCAAUGGACGAGAGUCUGAACCAGCCAAGUCGCGUGAAGGAUGAAUGCCCUAUGGGUUGUAAACUUCUUUUAUAUGGGAAUAAAACGUUCCACGUGUGGGAUUUUGUAUGUACCAUAUGAUUCAGGAUCGGCUAACUCCGUGCCAGCAGCCGCGGUAAUACGGAGGAUCCGAGCGUUAUCCGGAUUUAUUGGGUGUAAAGGGAGCGUAGGUGGAUUGUUAAGUCAGUUGUGAAAGUUUGCGGCUCAACCGUAAAAUUGCAGUUGAAACUGGCAGUCUUGAGUACAGUAGAGGUGGGCGGAAUUCGUGGUGUAGCGGUGAAAUGCUUAGAUAUCACGAAGAACUCCGAUUGCGAAGGCAGUUCACUGGACUGCAACUGACACUGAGGCUCGAAAGUGUGGGUAUCAAACAGGAUUAGAUACCCGAGUAGUC
Molecule: ribosomal RNA, 460 nt
Filed under: uncultured bacterium
Lineage: Bacteria
Description: partial 16S ribosomal RNA
Rfam family: Bacterial small subunit ribosomal RNA
Source: RNAcentral